Molecule: long non-coding RNA, 539 nt
Filed under: Mytilus galloprovincialis (Mediterranean mussel)
Lineage: Eukaryota; Metazoa; Mollusca; Bivalvia; Mytilida; Mytilidae
Source: RNAcentral
UGGACGUUGACAAAUGUUUUGAGGGGUUAGAUUCCACGUUCUACCAGUCCGUAACUAAGAAAACCACCAUUUUGAAUUCUGAUUUUUUUUUGGGUAUAUAAUUUCUCAAAAAAUAAACAAGAAUGUCACAUUUUGAGCCUCAAAAUCUUCUUUUUGUCUAUAUUGAAACCAUUCUGAAGCGUACGAAAAGUAAAAAUACUUUUAGUAUUCAUGUUUGAAAUCCAGAGUAUACAUAUGACGUCACAUUGUUUAGAUGCUAAAGACGAUGCAACAGUUUCGCGGACUUUUUCAUUUAUGGCAUUUUUAAGCCAAAAUAUUUAUUAAAUGAAAUUUAAUUUAAUAUGUGGCAUUAGAAUGGAGAUAACUGUAUUGUAUUUUAAGCUUGGCCUUCGUAAAACUUGAUUUUACUGUCGCAAAUAUCCGUUUACCUAUCUCCGCUCCGCGUCGCUAGGUAAACUCAAUUUGCGACAGUAAAAUCUACGUUUUACGAAGGCCAAGCUUAAAAUACAAUACAGUUAUCUCCUAAUUUUAAGAAAACA